This is a long non-coding RNA of Oncorhynchus kisutch (coho salmon), 1566 nucleotides long. The record is from Ensembl. NCBI's taxonomy places the organism in Eukaryota, Metazoa, Chordata, Actinopteri, Salmoniformes, Salmonidae.
CUUGAAGAGACUAUCGAUGCAGUGGUAGCAACCCUUGAAGUGACUUUUGAUGUUGAGUUAGAGGUGGCAUCACUAGCUGUGACUGUCAAUGUAGUUGAGGGAGAGAUCACAUCACUUAAAGUGACUGUCGAUGUAGUGGUAGCAUCAUUUGAAGUGACUGUUGAUGUAGUGGUGGAAUCACUUGAGGUGACUGUUGAUGUCGAGGGAGAGGUGGCAUCACUUGAAGUAACUGUUAGUGUCGAGGGAGUGGUGGCAUCACUUGAAGUGACUGUUGAUGUCGAGGGAGAGGUGGCAUUUCUUGAAGUGACUGUUGAUGUCGAGGUAGUGGUGGCAUCGCUUGAAGGGACUGUCGAUGUAGUGGUAGCAUCACUUGAAGUGACUGUUGAUGUAUUGGUGGCAUUUCUUGAAGUGACUGUUAAUGCCGAGGUAGUGGUGGGAUCAAUUGAAGGGACUGUCGAUGUAGUGGUGGGAUCACUUGAAGUGACUGUUGAUGUAGUGGUGGCAUCACUUGAAGUGACUGUUAAAGUCGAAGGAGUGGAGGGAUCACUUGUAGAGACUGUCGAUGUAUUGGUGGCAUUUCUUGAAGUGACUGUUAAUGCCGAGGUAGUGGUGGGAUCAAUUGAAGGGACUGUCGAUGUAGUGGUGGGAUCACUUGAAGUGACUGUUAAAGUUGAAGGAGUGGAGGCAUCACUUGAAGAGACUGUCGGUGUAGUGGUAGCAUCACUUGAUGUGACUGUCAAUGUAGUGGUAGCAUCACUUGAAGUGACUGUUGAUGUAUUGGUGGCAUCACUUAAAGUGACUGUUGAUGUCGAGGAAGAGGUGGCAUUUCUUGAAGUGACUUUUAAUGUCGAGGGAGUGGUGGCAUCACUUGAAAAUACAGUUGAUGUCGAGGGAGAGGUGGUAUCACUUGAAGAGACAACUGAUGUAGGCGAGGAAGCGGUUGGAUCACUUGAAGUGACUGUUGAUGUCCAGGUAAAGGUGGCAUCACCUGAAGUGACUGUUGAUGUCAAAGGAGAGGUGGCAUCACUUGAAGUGAAUGUUAAUGUCGAGGGAGAGGUGGCAUCACUUGAAGAGAUAAUUGAUGUAGGCGAGGAAGCGGUGGGAUCACUUGAAGUGACUGUUGAUGUCCAGGUAAAGGUGGCAUCACCUGAAGUGACUGUUGAUGUCAAAGGAGAUGUGGCAUCACUUGAAGAUACUGACGAUGUAGUGGUAGCAUCACUUGAACUGACUGUUGUUGUCGUGGUAGUAUCACUUGAACUGACUGUUGAUGUUGACUUAGAGGUGGCUUUACUUGGCGUGACUGUAGAUGUAGUUGAGGGUGAGGUUGCAUCACUUGAAGUGACUGUUGAUGUCGAGGUAGUGGUGGGAUCACUUGAAGGGACUGUCAAUGUAGUAGUAGCAUCACUUGAAGUGACUGUUGAUGUAGUGGUGGCAUCACUUGAAGUGACUGUUGAAGUCGAAGGAGUGGAGGCAUCACUUGAAGAGACUGUCAAUGUAGCGGUAGCAUCACUUGAAGUGACUGUUGAUGUAGUUGAGGAAGCGGUGGCAUCACUUGAUGUCCAGUAA